ACUCAAAGGAAUUGACGGGGGCCCGCACAAGCGGUGGAGCAUGUGGUUCAAUUCGAUGCAGAGCGAAGAACCUUACCUGGGCUUGACAUGCUGGAAGUAGAAACCCGAAAGGGGGACGACCUGUUAAGUCAGGAGCCAGCACAGGUGGUGCAUGGCUGUCGUCAGCUCGUGCCGUGAGGUGUUGGGUUAAGUCCCGCAACGAGCGCAACCCUCACCCUAUGUUGCCAUCAGUUCGGCUGGGCACUCUUAGGGAACUGCCGGCGAAGAGCUGGAGGAAGGGGGGGAUGACGUCAAGUCCGUAUGCCCCUUAUGUCCAGGGCUACACACAUGCUACAAUGGUCGGUACAGAGGGUUGCCAACCCGCGAGGGGGAGCCAAUCCCAUAAAGCCGAUCUCAGUUCGGAUUGCAGGCUGCAACUCGCCUGCAUGAAGUAGGAAUCGCUAGUAAGCGCAGAUCAGCAGGCUGCGCUGAAUACGUUCCCGGGCCUUGUACACACCGCCCGU
Molecule: ribosomal RNA, 503 nt
Filed under: uncultured bacterium
Lineage: Bacteria
Description: partial 16S ribosomal RNA
Rfam family: Bacterial small subunit ribosomal RNA
Source: RNAcentral